Arachis ipaensis is the source of this 753-nucleotide non-coding RNA. Lineage: Eukaryota; Viridiplantae; Streptophyta; Magnoliopsida; Fabales; Fabaceae. The record is from RefSeq and is a predicted model, not a curated record.
CGCAGGGAGAAGAAGAAAAGGUUACAAAACCCUUGUUUCAAUUUCCAAACGCCGUAACUUCUCCGUUCUAGCUCCGAUCGCCGCACCAUUCGCGGCCACGCGUCCAACGCGUCGAGCUCUCUACAUUUCUGUCGGAUCAAUUUUACCGGUUCGUUUUAGCUUGCGGAGCUUAUUGGGUUUGAGUUGCUACGCGUAUGGGUGCGGUGUGAAUUAAGUUUAUAUAUAAGCAUUGGAAUUGAAAAGUAAGCAUUUGGAAGCUUGGUGGUGAUCAAAACUGAGAUUGUGGCUGGUUUCUUUGAGCUUGAAGGGCUGUGUUGUGACUUGGGUGGCUGUCUUGGAUUAAAUAUAGUGAUCGGCUAAGGUUUUGUGGGUAGGGAAUGUGAAUUUGGUAAAAAUGGAGGGAAGUUGUGCGUUGUUGUUGUUGCCUCAAGCUACCAAGCCGUCGCCGUUUUUGCUCGGGGUUAUCGUCGCCGAUUGGUUUCGUCGCUGCUAAAGGAGAAGACGCGUCCGAGAGAGAGAGAACCAGGGGAAGUGAUGCGCGAAGUAAGGUGACUAAUCGGAAGACUACCAAUAUCAUUGCUUAUUCCAUUCAACUAUAUACGUAUAGUCAUAGUAACUAGAACUUCGAUUUAAUUCUUAAAAUCUUUCGAUAUUACGAUUUUAAAUGAGUCAUUUGAUUUUACAAUUUAAAUCUUGUUAAGAUUUUACGUUUUACGUACUUAAUUUACUUUUUCGAUUUUACGUAAAAUCUCG